AGCGAACGCUGGCGGCGUGCCUAACACAUGCAAGUCGAACGUGAAAGGGAGCAAUCCCAAGUAAAGUGGCGUACGGGUGAGUAACACGUAGGUAAUCUACCCCAGAAUCUGGAAUAGCCGGCCGAAAGGCUGGCUAAUACUGGAUAGAGCGACGGAAUCCGUAAUUGGGUUUUUCGGGAAAGGGAGCCUGUAAAAAGGCCUUCGUUCUGGGAUGAGCCUGCGUCCCAUCAGCUAGUUGGUGAGGUAAAAGCUUACCAAGGCAAUGACGGGUAGCUGGUCUGAGAGGACGAGCAGCCACACUGGAACUGAAACACGGUCCAGACUCCUACGGGAGGCAGCAGUGGGGAAUCUUGCGCAAUGGACGAAAGUCUGACGCAGCAACGCCGCGUGAGUGAAGAAGGCCUUCGGGUUGUAAAGCUCUGUCGAGUGGGACGAAAAUGCUUGGAGUUCACAGCUCCAGGAACUGACGGUACCACUAAAGGAAGCACCGGCUAACUCCGUG
This 502-nucleotide ribosomal RNA is filed under the name uncultured bacterium. RNAcentral's name for it is "partial 16S ribosomal RNA". It matches the Rfam family "Bacterial small subunit ribosomal RNA", at positions 29 to 507 of the family's 1533-position model. The record is from RNAcentral.